This 445-nucleotide ribosomal RNA is filed under the name uncultured Saccharomycetes. Its description in RNAcentral is "eukaryotic LSU rRNA". The stretch from base 91 to 243 matches the Rfam family "5.8S ribosomal RNA". Lineage: Eukaryota; Fungi; Ascomycota; Saccharomycetes. The record is from RNAcentral.
CAUUACUGUGAUUUAAACAUUCUACACUGCGUGAGCGCACUUACAACACACAAACGUAUGUACCGUCGUCAACAACUACAAAACAAACAAAACUUUCAACAACGGAUCUCUUGGUUCUCGCAUCGAUGAAGAGCGCAGCGAAAUGCGAUACCUAGUGUGAAUUGCAGCCAUCGUGAAUCAUCGAGUUCUUGAACGCACAUUGCGCCCUUCGGUAUUCCGGAGGGCAUGCCUGUUUGAGCGUCGUUUCCUUCUUGCGCGUGCGCAGAGUUGGAGGGGUCUUGUGGCCCUUCUGAAAAGAAACGCGCGGGCNGAAGCGAACUAUAUUGGGACGCUUGGCCGCCGAACUUACUACUAAGCUCGACCUCAAAUCAGGUAGGGAUACCCGCUGAACUUAAGCAUAUCAAUAAGCGGAGGAAAAGAAACCAACAGGGAUUGCUCCAGUAAC